RNAcentral lists this long non-coding RNA (375 nucleotides) under Citrus sinensis (sweet orange). Its description in RNAcentral is "long non-coding RNA (CSIN_LNC001268)". Lineage: Eukaryota; Viridiplantae; Streptophyta; Magnoliopsida; Sapindales; Rutaceae. The record is from RNAcentral.
UUUAUUAAAUAACCUCCAAAAUGAUCCGUUAAUCCAAAAUACCACUUAGCCCACGUCCGCACCCUCCUACGCCUCGGUUUUGAUAUCCGUCCCCAAUCUAAAUCAAAAUAAACCCACUAAAAAAUCUUUGGUAGAUAUUAUGAACGGCCCAUCCAACUCGAUGAUUCCGAUCAAGACCGUUACUUCAUUUGAGGGAGAGCCUAACGUGCAAUUUUCUACUGCGGAAAUUCAAGCAAUGGCCAUUCCUUUCAAGCUGAACCUAACGUGCAAUUUUCUACUACGGAAAUUCAAGCGAUGGCCAUUCCUUUCAAGCUGACAUUGGUAGGUAAAUUUUCCUACAAUAGACCUAGUAUGGAAUUAAUUCGUAAAUUUUUU